AAAAUAAAAGCAGUCCUGGAUUUACAAAAAGUUCAUUUCCAGAAGUUCACUUCCAAGUCAUUUAAACACAUAAUGCAUUACUCCAAAGGAAGGGAAAAGGUACAACUAAUGAUUGCUUCUUUAGGUUAGCCCUCAAAAAAUGUUAUUUAACUACAAAUUGUUUUUUCAGACAGUCUUGCUCUGUCGCCAGGCUGCAGUGCAGUGGCAUGAUCUUAACUAUAAAAUUACUGAAAUAUUUAAAAUAACAUUUUUUAAAACAAAUCUUCUGACAUUAAACAUGUUCAUGUUAAAAGAGAAAACAUAAUAAUAUGAAAGAACAUAAAAUGUUAAAUGUUUUUAGAAUAUCCUGAGAAAACAGAUUUAGUGCCAUCCUAAAGAAAUUAGAGUCUAAAGCCAGGGUUCACAUUCGCCAUUUGUCAGCUGUGUUACCCUAGGCAAGUUACUGAAUGUCUCUGUGCUUCAUUUUCCUGAAAUAGAAUAAAAUAAAAAAAAUAAUAGAACGUUUCUCAUCAUAUCUGAAAAGAUUUAAUGCUUUAAUAGAUGUAAAACACUUAGCACAGUUCUUUGUUCACGGUAGGUUCAAAAUACUGUUUUAAUGUUAUUAUUCUGUACAAAUUUCUGUUUAAUAUAAGUGGCAAUUAAAGAUUGAUGCUGCAAGAGUGUAAAAUACAAUAAAAACUAACAUUUUACCUUCCAAUCCAGUUCUAAAAGAGCUUUCUUAGAGAAAUGUACAAAUGAAAACAUAUGCAUUAAUCACCCUGUUAUUUAGCAAUUUUGUGCAAUCUUGUAAACCUGCAAUAUAGAAUAAAAAAAAACUUUAAGACAUUCAGAUUUUGGAAGUAUAUAUUGUAUUCCACUGCAUUUAAAAGCAGACUUUUAAAUAUGCAGCACCUCAUGUCAGGGUCAAAAUCGUUCUGAUUGUGUAUGGGAAUAUGUUUUAUCUUAAAUAUGUCUAGAACUUUAAGAACUUAAGGAAGCUUCAGCAACAUUAUAAAAAGAUCAUAUCCAAGGCAAGUUGAAAAUUGGUAAGGCAAGUCUGUUUAUAGAAGCUCUACCAAACAACCACUAAAAUUACAAUCUCUUCAGACUAAAAACAGUCUUUACAUUUGUUGUCCAAAAAGAAAGACAGACAGCUAACUUUAAGGAUAUUUUCAUUUUUAAAGGUUGUAUCCACUAAAAUGUGUUUGUUUUUCAAAUUAAAAUAGAAACAGGAAAAAGAAAAAGAGGCAGUUCCUUGCACCCUGAAUGUUAGCCAAAGUAGUGACAAUUACAGGACCACACUGAGAGAGUCCCUUCUUUUUGUUUCUCCAAAUGCUCACCAGGAAAGAGAAAACAUUCACGGGCCUCCUCCUCUAGUACCGACUGACUCCCUGCUGUCUUUUCUAAAGCCAGAUGGUGGCGCUGUGGUAUCAUUUGUUGAGAGUUUAGCUUUAAAUUCUGUUUUCUGUCAGUAAUAGCGUUGCGUGAAAAGUCUCAGCCCUCUUUAGAAAAAGAAAGUAUUUUAAACAGACUUUAUUCUUCCCUUUAAUGAUAAAUAAGCCCAUCAUUUAAGCCCUU
Molecule: long non-coding RNA, 1557 nt
Filed under: Macaca fascicularis (crab-eating macaque)
Lineage: Eukaryota; Metazoa; Chordata; Mammalia; Primates; Cercopithecidae
Description: lncRNA (ENSMFAG00000060029.1)
Source: RNAcentral